CUCAGUUGGAGGCUGCUCAGUAACGCUCAGCGCUCACCGGAAAAGUGCUUCUAAUAUCCUUCACUGGUCUCCGUCCAGAGACACGGGGUCUGGUGGUUCAUUUCUUUAGCUGUCUAUGAACAACUUAUAAAGAAGUUCAGCCGACUCUGCAGCAUAACGUGUUCCAAGUGCUGCUGGUAUUUUGUUUGCCAGCUUUUUCCACUGUUUGCACUUUCGUCCUGAUAAGGGCUUUCGCCAGCGGCCUCUUCAAAGUUAGACCGAGAACGAUUUGUUGCCACCGAUUCCUGUUUAUUCAAGAUGCUGUGCUCUCUGCAUGAUCUCGCGCGGUAGCCGCAAAGAGGGGUAUCCAUCAGGCAAGUGUAAUUUAAAUAUAAUUCUGGUGUAGUUACAAACUUUUUAAUGCCUCAUUUUAUAAGUACAGAAACUAUUUGUACUACUGUAGACGUUU
Long non-coding RNA from Perca fluviatilis (European perch), 448 nucleotides. RefSeq lists it as uncharacterized. The record is from RefSeq and is a predicted model, not a curated record. The transcript is spliced from 4 exons. NCBI's taxonomy places the organism in Eukaryota, Metazoa, Chordata, Actinopteri, Perciformes, Percidae.